RNAcentral lists this ribosomal RNA (479 nucleotides) under uncultured bacterium. Its description in RNAcentral is "bacterial SSU rRNA". It matches the Rfam family "Bacterial small subunit ribosomal RNA", at positions 28 to 506 of the family's 1533-position model. The record is from RNAcentral.
GACGAACGCUGGCGGCGUGCCUAACACAUGCAAGUCAACUUGACUGAAGGAGCAAUCUGACAGUAGAGUGGCGCAAGGGUGCGUAACGCGUAAGUAACUUGCCCAAGGUAAGGAAUAACGUCGAGAAAUCGGCGCUAAUACCUCAUAAUGCAGCGGAUCCGCAUGGAUAUGUUGUUAAAGGUUUACCGCCUUGGGGAUAGGCUUGCGUCUGAUUAGCUAGUUGGUGUGGUAACGGCACACCAAGGCUACGAUCAGUAACUGGUCUGAGAGGAUGAUCAGUCACACUGGAACUGAGACACGGUCCAGACUCCUACGGGAGGCAGCAGUGAGGAAUAUUGGGCAAUGCUCGAAAGAGUGACCCAGCAACGCCGCGUGGAGGAUGAAGGUAUUCUAUAUCGUAAACUCCUGUGAGAGCAGACGAAAGACAGAUUAUUAAUCUGGAUGACUGUAUGCUCAGAGGAAGCCCCGGCUAACUACGU